AGUGAACGCUGGCGGCAGGCCUAACACAUGCAAGUCGAACGGCAGCACAAGAGAGCUUGCUCUCUGGGUGGCGAGUGGCGGACGGGUGAGGAAUGCAUCGGAAUCUGCCCAUUUGUGGGGGAUAACCUCGGGAAACCGGGACUAAUACCGCAUACGACCUACGGGUGAAAGCAGGGGAUCUUCGGACCUUGCGCAGAUGGAUGAGCCGAUGCCGGAUUAGCUAGUUGGAGGGGUAAAGGCCCACCAAGGCGACGAUCCGUAGCUGGUCUGAGAGGAUGAUCAGCCACACUGGGACUGAGACACGGCCCAGACUCCUACGGGAGGCAGCAGUGGGGAAUAUUGGACAAUGGGCGCAAGCCUGAUCCAGCCAUGCCGCGUGUGUGAAGAAGGCCUUCGGGUUGUAAAGCACUUUUGUUGGGAAAGAAAAGCAGCCGGUUAAUACCCGGUUGUCAUGACGGUACCCAAAGAAUAAGCACCGGCUAACUUC
RNAcentral lists this ribosomal RNA (487 nucleotides) under uncultured bacterium. RNAcentral's name for it is "partial 16S ribosomal RNA". It matches the Rfam family "Bacterial small subunit ribosomal RNA", at positions 29 to 504 of the family's 1533-position model. The record is from RNAcentral.